Phyllostomus discolor (pale spear-nosed bat) is the source of this 2148-nucleotide long non-coding RNA. RefSeq lists it as uncharacterized. The record is from RefSeq and is a predicted model, not a curated record. The transcript is spliced from 2 exons. NCBI's taxonomy places the organism in Eukaryota, Metazoa, Chordata, Mammalia, Chiroptera, Phyllostomidae.
UGUUUCUUUCCCUCUCUUUCUCCCUCCCUUCCCCUCUCUAAAUUUCAAAAAUAAAGUAAAUCAGACAGAGGGGCUUUUUGGCAUUCAUACUCCUGUGUGGCCACUAUUCAUUGUAUAUGGCUGUUACAUAAAAAUAGCAAAACAUUGCACUCUUUUUAAUCUCUAAAAUCAAGAAUUAUUAGGGUGAUGCAAAGAGCUGUACAGCUCUUUUCUAACUACUUGUGUUUGAUUAGGAGAAAUGUUUUCUGUAUUCCAAGACUUAGCUUCCAUUGAGAUUCAUUUUUGCACUACUUUUAUUGGUAGGUUUAGACACAUCACUCUUGUGUGAUGAAGUGAAAUUUUUUUUGAGAUCUCCAAGAUUUUUUUAAUGGCAUUUUUUGGAAAAAGACGAUUUACAUAGCUGGUAUAAUUUAUAAAGUGACAAGGCCCCAGAUCAUAUAGGCAGGACUCUGAAAAAAUUCAAAUGUUAUAAAUGAGAACUUAAAUUUUUUUAAAUUAUGGUAAAUGUUGCAUACUUAUGCAAAUAUUCUUGUUUCAUUGACGAAACAAGCAAAAUAUUUCAGAAUUUGGAGUCAGAAAGGUACAUAGCAGACAACCAGACUCUCAGUUCUUUUAAAACAGUAGAAAAUCAACCCCACUUUUAAAAUCAUACAAAACCAGUAGAAAUAAUGUUUAAUGAGAGGAAAUGGAGCCUGCUCUGCAACAGUACUAAAGCAUCUUACUGGAUGUGGUAUAAAUGUCAUUGAUCGAAGCAAACCCAGUCAUAUUACAGGUAAGAGGAGCUGCAGACCAGAUAGGUUAAGUAACUAGUUAGUACCUGUCCUGAGGUUGCAAAUACCAAUUUGAUUGUUUUAGUUCCAGAUUGAAUGUUACAAUACUACAGACUUCUAGGAGGUCAUCUCUCUUAAACUUAUAAUAUCCUUGUGAUAUUUUUUUAAAAGUCUUUUUUGUACAGUUAGCAUGUAUUCCUGUUAUUCAUGCUUCAUUUUAUAUUAAUACAUGUCUAUUUUAAUGCAAAAUAACGCUAAAUACAAAUUUCUGUACUUCAGAGAUUUAAUUAAUGCUUGAAUUAAAUAUUAUCCCAAGUUUUGAAAUUCUUUAAGAAAAAAGUCCUUAACUUCCAGUAAUCCCCACCAUCAUUAAUUAUAUGGCUCAAUUUUCAUUUCAGUGAACUUUAGAACUAAAAUCUUUAUAAUUAGUUUUAGCUGAUGAAUUUCUUUGUAUUACCUAGACAGUCUGUUAAUUUGACUGCCUAGGAUUUUUCCUCAGGCAUUGAAAUUUAGAGGGUGAAAAUUUUUAAUUGAUUAAAAGUAAUUUUGUGUGCAUGCGCAUGCCUGCACAUGUUCGAGGGUGGGGUGCUAUGCAGAUUAUUAAUGUCCUUCAACUCUCCAGCCAGCCAGCCAAAAGCUGCUGGCCCAAUGUUAACCUCCUUAUCAUUCCAGAAGGAUAGAUACUUGGAUGUGAAAACUCAAGGGCAUGCUCAUGCCUGCUGUCCUUUCAUAUUCCUUUCCAUCCUCCUCCUCUUCCCUUGGCCAGGAAUUUGUUUUCUUUGAAGGUGUCUGUUUUGCAACUUGGGCAUUAAUUUAUCAGUGAACGUGUUUUAUUAUAAUGUCAAAAAAUAAGGGUUUCUUUUUUACUUAGUAAUUCCACUUUAAUCUUUGCGAAGUAUUUAAGAAAAAGGGCAGGAAAAGCCAUAUUCACAGAAAUGAAGAAUCUAGUAUGCCAAUUUGCAUUAUUGCAUGAUCAUUCAUAAAGUUGAUAUACUCAAAAUAAUUCACAAUUCUUUCAUUAUUUGGCAUUCAAGUUGCUUUUAUGAGUAAAGAUUGUGGUAUCAUAGCUGACCUUUAUGGUAUAGUAAUAAGGCAGUACCCAACUUGGGAAUCAUAAUUGCAAGUUAUAUAAUAAAACUAGCCUCUUAUUUUCGUAUACUUUCUUUGGUUUUUAUCCCAUGUGUAGAUUUCCAUAAUACCUCACAAUAUUGAACAUUCCCUUACACCAGAAAACUCCCUCUAAUUUCCUAUAAUAGUCACACCUUUCUUUCACCCCUAAUGUGUAGCAACCACUGAUCUGUCCUGUCACUGUAGUUUUGUUUUCUCAAGAAUGUUACGUAAAUGGAAUGUUUGUAACCCUUUGAGACUAAUUUCUUCA